CUGUAAGCCUGUGAAGGUGUGUCGUGAGGCAUGCUGGAGGUAUCAGAAGUGCGAAUGCUGACAUAAGUAACGAUAAAGCGGGUGAAAAGCCCGCUCGCCGGAAGACCAAGGGUUCCUGUCCAACGUUAAUCGGGGCAGGGUGAGUCGACCCCUAAGGCGAGGCCGAAAGGCGUAGUCGAUGGGAAACGGGUUAAUAUUCCCGUACUUGGUGUUACUGCGAAGGGGGGACGGAGAAGGCUAUGUUGGCCGGGCGACGGUUGUCCCGGUUUAAGCGUGUAGGUGUGUGUUCCAGGUAAAUCCGGUUCACUUUAACACUGAGGCGUGACGACGAGGCACUACGGUGCUGAAGCAACAAAUGCCCUGCUUCCAGGAAAAGCCUCUAAGCAUCAGGUAACAUCAAAUCGUACCCCAAACCGACACAGGUGGUCAGGUAGAGAAUACCAAGGCGCUUGAGAGAACUCGGGUGAAGGAACUAGGCAAAAUGGUGCCGUAACUUCGGGAGAAGGCACGCUGACACGUAGGUGAAGUGAUUUACUCAUGGAGCUGAAGUCAGUCGAAGAUACCAGCUGGCUGCAACUGUUUAUUAAAAACACAGCACUGUGCAAACACGAAAGUGGACGUAUACGGUGUGACGCCUGCCCGGUGCCGGAAGGUUAAUUGAUGGGGUCAGCGCAAGCGAAGCUCCUGAUCGAAGCCCCGGUAAACGGCGGCCGUAACUAUAACGGUCCUAAGGUAGCGAAAUUCCUUGUCGGGUAAGUUCCGACCUGCACGAAUGGCGUAAUGAUGGCCAGGCUGUCUCCACCCGAGACUCAGUGAAAUUGAACUCGCUGUGAAGAUGCAGUGUACCCGCGGCAAGACGGAAAGACCCCGUGAACCUUUACUAUAGCUUGACACUGAACAUUGAGCCUUGAUGUGUAGGAUAGGUGGGAGGCUUUGAAG
Molecule: ribosomal RNA, 939 nt
Filed under: Salmonella enterica subsp. enterica
Lineage: Bacteria; Pseudomonadati; Pseudomonadota; Gammaproteobacteria; Enterobacterales; Enterobacteriaceae
Description: bacterial LSU rRNA
Rfam family: Bacterial large subunit ribosomal RNA
Source: RNAcentral